GGCCAGGGGGUCUGCUUAUAUAGUCCCCUCCUUUUGUGCCUUUUUGGUUCAGCAGGCGAUGUGGUACUAAACUUUCCACCAUAUCUCAUUAAAAUACACAUAGGCAUUAAUGGACCAAAAUCUGAUUUGGGCCCAAUUAAUCCCGCAGCUCUUUUAUGUGGAGUCCUUCUUUUAUUAAUAUCUCUUGAUUCCGAACUCCAAAUAUAGCAAAU
This 212-nucleotide long non-coding RNA is filed under the name Sorghum bicolor (sorghum). RNAcentral's name for it is "long non-coding RNA (SBIC_LNC016139)". Lineage: Eukaryota; Viridiplantae; Streptophyta; Magnoliopsida; Poales; Poaceae. The record is from RNAcentral.